Molecule: ribosomal RNA, 556 nt
Filed under: Cryptosporidium sp.
Lineage: Eukaryota; Apicomplexa; Conoidasida; Eucoccidiorida; Cryptosporidiidae
Description: partial 18S ribosomal RNA
Rfam family: Eukaryotic small subunit ribosomal RNA
Source: RNAcentral
CGGAAUCAAACGAUUCUGUAAUUGGAAUGAACUAAGCUUAAAACCCUUUAUGAGUAACAAUUGGAGGGCAAGUCUGGUGCCAGCAGCCGCGGUAAUUCCAGCUCCAAUAGCGUAUAUUAAAGUUGUUGCAGUUAAAAAGCUCGUAGUUGGACUUCGAUUAAUAUAUUAUUUGUCGCCCCCGAGUGGCAAUUAUUAUUUAUUAAUCUUCCCCCCCCUGCAACCGCGUGGGGGAUUUUACUUUGAAAAAAUUAAAGUGCUUAAAGCAGGCUAUUGCCGUGAAUACUCCAGCAUGGAAUAAUAAAAAAUGACUUUCAUUUUUCUUAUUGGUUCUAAAAUGAAAGUAAUGAUUAAUAGGAACAGUUGGGGGCAUUUGUAUUCAACAGUCAGAGGUGAAAUUCUUAAAUUUGUUGAAAACAAACUACUGCGAAAGCAUUUGCCAAGGAUGUUUUCAUUAAUCAAGAACGAAAGUUAGGGGAUCGAAAACGAUCAAAUACCGUCGUAAUCUUAACCAUAAACUAUGCCGACUAAAGAUUGGAGGUUGUUCCUAUACUCCUUA